GAUGAACGCUAGCUACAGGCUUAACGCAUGCAAGUCGAGGGGUAACGAGAGGAAAGCUUGCUUUCCUUGUCGACGACCGGCGCACGGGUGAGUAACGCGUAUCCAACCUGCCCCCAACUAGGGAAUAACCUUGCGAAAGUAAGACUAAUACCCUAUAAUUUCCUCAGAUGCCAUCUGACGAGGAAUAAAGAUUUAUCGGUUGUGGAUGGGGAUGCGUCUGAUUAGCUUGUUGGCGGGGUAACGGCCCACCAAGGCAACGAUCAGUAGGGGUUCUGAGAGGAAGGUCCCCCACAUUGGAACUGAGACACGGUCCAAACUCCUACGGGAGGCAGCAGUGAGGAAUAUUGGUCAAUGGGCGGAAGCCUGAACCAGCCAAGUAGCGUGCAGGAUGACGGCCCUAUGGGUUGUAAACUGCUUUUAUACGGGAAUAAAGUUAGCCACGUGUGGUUAUUUGUAGGUACUGUAUGAAUAAGGACCGGCUAAUUCCGUGCCAGCCGCCGCCGUAA
RNAcentral lists this ribosomal RNA (506 nucleotides) under uncultured bacterium. RNAcentral's name for it is "partial 16S ribosomal RNA". It matches the Rfam family "Bacterial small subunit ribosomal RNA", at positions 28 to 523 of the family's 1533-position model. The record is from RNAcentral.